This 160-nucleotide non-coding RNA is filed under the name Bacteroides uniformis. Lineage: Bacteria; Pseudomonadati; Bacteroidota; Bacteroidia; Bacteroidales; Bacteroidaceae. The record is from RNAcentral.
CAUCAUCUGGAUUAAAAGGGAAUCGGGUGUAAAUCCCGGACAGUCCCGCUGCUGUGAAGCUCCGUUUAUAUCAUGAAAAACACCUUUGCCACUGAUAUGCAUUGAAAUAUCGGGAAGGCUUCAGGAUUAGGAGUCAGUCAGAAGACCUGCCAUUCAUUAA